UGGGGAAUCUUGCGCAAUGGGCGAAAGCCUGACGCAGCCAUGCCGCGUGAGUGAUGAAGGCCUUAGGGUUGUAAAACUCUUUCACCGGGGACGAUAAUGACGGUACCCGGAGAAGAAGCCCCGGCUAACUUCGUGCCAGCAGCCGCGGUAAUACGAAGGGGGCUAGCGUUGCUCGGAAUUACUGGGCGUAAAGGGCGCGUAGGCGGAUCAGCAAGUUGGGGGUGAAAGCCCGGGGCUCAACCUCGGAAUUGCCUUCAAAACUGCUGAUCUAGAGUACGGGAGAGGUGUGUGGAACUCCGAGUGUAGAGGUGAAAUUCGUAGAUAUUCGGAAGAACACCAGUGGCGAAGGCGACACACUGGCCCGUUACUGACGCUGAGGCGCGAAAGCGUGGGGAGCAAAACAGGAUUAGAUACCCUGGUAGUCCACGCUGUAAAACGAUGAUUGCUAGUUGUCGGCAGGCAUGCCUGUCGGUGACGCAGCUAACGCAUUAAGCAAUCCGCCUGGGGGAGUACGGUCGCAAGAUUAAAAACUCAAAGGAAUUGAC
Molecule: ribosomal RNA, 545 nt
Filed under: uncultured bacterium
Lineage: Bacteria
Description: partial 16S ribosomal RNA
Rfam family: Bacterial small subunit ribosomal RNA
Source: RNAcentral